RNAcentral lists this ribosomal RNA (245 nucleotides) under uncultured bacterium. RNAcentral's name for it is "partial 16S ribosomal RNA". It matches the Rfam family "Bacterial small subunit ribosomal RNA", at positions 527 to 771 of the family's 1533-position model. The record is from RNAcentral.
GUAGGGGGCAAGCGUUAUCCGGAUUUACUGGGUGUAAAGGGAGCGCAGGCGGCCAGGCAAGUCUGAUGUGAAAUACCGGGGCUCAACCCCGGAACUGCAUUGGAAACUGUCAGGCUGGAGUGUCGGAGAGGCAGGCGGAAUUCCUGGUGUAGCGGUGAAAUGCGUAGAUAUCAGGAGGAACACCAGUGGCGAAGGCGGCCUGCUGGACGAUGACUGACGCUGAGGCUCGAAAGCAUGGGUAGCGA